This 437-nucleotide ribosomal RNA is filed under the name uncultured bacterium. Its description in RNAcentral is "bacterial SSU rRNA". It matches the Rfam family "Bacterial small subunit ribosomal RNA", at positions 954 to 1392 of the family's 1533-position model. The record is from RNAcentral.
GCAAAACGCGAAGAACCUUACCUAGGCUUGACAUGCAUCUCUAAGCGCGUGAAAGCGCGUGACCCUUCGGGGGAUUUGCACAGGUGCUGCAUGGCCGUCGUCAGCUCGUGUCGUGAGAUGUUGGGUUAAGUCCCGCAACGAGCGCAACCCUUGUGAACAGUUGCCAGCACUUAAGGUGGGAACUCUGUUCGGACUGCCCAGAUCAACUGGGAGGAAGGUGGGGACGACGUCAGGUCAGUAUGGCCCUUACGCCUAGGGCUGCACACGUACUACAAUGCCCAGCACAAUGAGAACCGAGACCGCGAGGUAGAGGAAAUCUAAAAAACUGGGCCCAGUUCGGAUUGGAGGCUGCAACUCGCCUCCAUGAAGUUGGAAUCGCUAGUAAUGGCGCAUCAGCUACGGCGCCGUGAAUACGUUCCCGGGUCUUGUACACACCG